ACGUAGCAGAGCAGCUCCCUCGCU
RNAcentral lists this non-coding RNA (24 nucleotides) under Gallus gallus (chicken). The record is from RNAcentral. RNAcentral also lists the same sequence under 4 other names. Lineage: Eukaryota; Metazoa; Chordata; Aves; Galliformes; Phasianidae.